GAUGAACGCUGGCGGCGUGCCUAAUACAUGCAAGUCGAGCGAACAGACGAGGCGCUUGCUCCUCUGACGUUAGCGGCGGACGGGUGAGUAACACGUGGAUAACCUACCUAUAAGACUGGGAUAACUUCGGGAAACCGGAGCUAAUACCGGAUAAUAUAUUGAACCGCAUGGUUCAAUAGUGAAAGACGGUUUUGCUGUCACUUAUAGAUGGAUCCGCGCCGCAUUAGCUAGUUGGUAAGGUAACGGCUUACCAAGGCGACGAUGCGUAGCCGACCUGAGAGGGUGGUCGGCCACACUGGAGCUGAGACACGGUCCAGACUCCUAAGGGAGGCAGCAGUAGGGAAUCUUACGCAAUGGGCGAAAGCCUGACGGAGCAACGCCGCGUGAGUGAUGAAGGUCUUCGGAGCGUAAAACUCUGUUAUUAGGGAAGAACAAAUGUGUAAGUAACUAUGCACGUAUUGACGGUAACUAAUCAGAAAGCCACGGCUAACUACGUG
RNAcentral lists this ribosomal RNA (497 nucleotides) under uncultured bacterium. RNAcentral's name for it is "partial 16S ribosomal RNA". It matches the Rfam family "Bacterial small subunit ribosomal RNA", at positions 28 to 507 of the family's 1533-position model. The record is from RNAcentral.